Long non-coding RNA from Gallus gallus (chicken), 2323 nucleotides. Lineage: Eukaryota; Metazoa; Chordata; Aves; Galliformes; Phasianidae. The record is from Ensembl.
CUGCACUGUCACUGCCCACAAACUUUUCCAAAGUGCAGAAAACCACUGUUUCUUAAUUGCCUCAGCAGACUAUGAAUUACACUAAUUGGGGCACCAGCAAGCAGAAAAUGGAUAAUAAAUACAAAGUGCUCAUUGUGGACCGAGAGCAGAGUGCCAUCCACUGCCGCCCUGUGCUGCUGAAGCUGUGCUGCAUGGCACACUGUACCUGCAGCCCACUUCUCUGGGAGCUGCAGAACACGUAGUGGGCAAUGAGAAACAUUUUAAACAACUUAUUGCACUUCUACUGUUACACGGCAUGGAAAGCAGCCUGCUUAGUGAGGAGAUGCAGGCAGUGAAGGAGGAGAUAUAUUUCCAUUUUAAUAUGAGCUCUUCUCAAGGUGAAUUAAUAGAGGUUUCUUACAAUGACCUAAACAGAACUUCAAUUUCUCAUGCCUGUAAGCACUCUGCAUUUUUUAUAAUUCAUCCAGGUUUGUUAUGGGGACGUCAGCUGGACCACAAAGCAAACACUUUGUGAGGUGCUCACCUGCAAUUUCACCACAAACAGGAGAGGUCCUGGAGCGAACCGAUGGCAUUGGGAGUUUGCUCCUGGCCAGCCCAGAUUGCCUCCAUCUACCAAACCUCAUCCCAGUGGUCUCUCCUGAAGCUCAUGUUUGCCACCCAUGGAGCCACAGCCUGCUGAAGACACUUUGGUAUGGCAUUAUGCAUCCCAUCAUCAGGAAUAAUAAAUGGACAUCACUGUGCUUGGAUUACACAGCUUGAGCUGAAGGACCAGGCCCUGGUGUGGAGAGGUGGCUGCUCCCCUCUUCAGCUGCUGCCUGAUUUCUGGGUUAGAGCAGAGCUGUGAUUGUUCCUGACACUGCAAUUACAUGUGUUGUGGGGACGAAGCCAAGGCUGCCCUGGGAGCAGAGAUGCUCUGUUGGCCUCACAGUGCUCAUCCAGAUUCCUCCUGUGUCCAGUGUGUAUGAAUCCCAUCCAUUUCUGGAUGUUUUUACUAACAACACCCAGGGGUUGGUUGCAUUUCCAUCCAGAAAUCUGGAGCUCUCCUGUAGCAGCACAGUGGGACACAGAGCAACACAUGCACUGCGACCUGCUCUCAGCUCUGAUGGGAAACAGAAGCUGCAGUCUGAUGGCUUUGGUCCUGGUGCUUCCCAUUGGGCUAUGUAGGCAGCAGCCCCUGUUUCACAUCUAUGGGAGAGGAGCAGCUCCUGCACACCCGGGGCAGCCUCCUGCCCACUCCUGCUGCUGCUCUGCCCUCACACUCUGCACUGCCAGCUUCACUCUGCCCUGUGCCUUUGGCACUUGUAGUCCUUGCAGGCACGGGGCUGCUCUCAGCGGUGGAGCCUCUGCCAACAAAUUCUGGGGAUCCUUAGUGGGGGUAGGAGCUGAAAUUCCGACACAGAGAGCCUGACCCAGCCCAAGCCCUGCAGCUUUCUUAGGGCCAGCUGCUCUUUUCUUCUGGUGGGGGUUUCUUCCUGCUCAGUUCCACAUCGCUUCCUCCAAAGUGCCCUUGGGGAUGUUGGCUGCUCCCUCUGAUGCUUCCAACAGGCCGCAGGAGGGCUGUGCUAAUGCAUGCCUGAGACCAGCACGUACAUCUCUUUCUCCUCACACUGCAAAUGUUUCCCCACUUUUGCUGUUGUAGGAAUUUACAUUUAUGUUCUUGUAAAGUCAUAGAAUCGUUAAGGUUGGAAAAGACCUCCAAGAUCACCUCUAAAACUUUGAAGCCUAACCCCAGCCCACCCCCACCAUGCCUACUGCCCAGGUCCCACCUGUGUGGUUGCUCCAUACGUCCCCUUUGCUACACAGGGCUGGGCAAAGGGAGAGCAGAAUUUGUGCUUCCAAGUUGCACCUCAGCAAAUCAACCCAUGUGCUGUGCAGGCGAGGAGCGGGCAGUCAGUGCCCAGGGGUGCAGAGAGCUCAGGGGUUGGAGCCCUGGGAGCAGUGUGUCCUGCAUGGAGUGCUUGGGCAGUCCCAGUGAGCAUCACUCUGGCCCUGAGUCCCUACAGGCACUCAGCCCUUGCUGGGCACGCUGCUGCCAGGUCACAUAGUGAGAAACAGCUCUUCUUGCGGCAAUGAAUGCACUCAGCAGUGAUAUGAAAUAUCCUGAACAAGCACAGCAAGGCACGCACCUGCACGCAAGAUAAAGCUGAGGCAAGAGAUGACAAAGAUGAACACAACCCAGAAGAUAUUUCUUAUUAAACAGUUGCCUGCCUGAUUUGUUUCCUGCAUUAGUGAUGACGCAUGGCUGCUAUUCACAUUAAUAGGCAGCCAUAAAGUAUUUUUGUCAGCUGAGUUUUACCUGGAGUUAAAUAAAAUAUUACUGUUU